AGAGUUUGAUCAUGGCUCAGAUUGAACGCUGGCGGCAUGCCUUACACAUGCAAGUCGAACGGCAGCACGAGAGCUUGCUCUUGGUGGCGAGUGGCGAACGGGUGAGUAAUAUAUCGGAACGUACCCUAGAGUGGGGGAUAACGUAGCGAAAGUUACGCUAAUACCGCAUACGAUCUACGGAUGAAAGUGGGGGAUCGCAAGACCUCAUGCUCAUGGAGCGGCCGAUAUCUGAUUAGCUAGUUGGUGGGGUAAAAGCUCACCAAGGCGACGAUCAGUAGCUGGUCUGAGAGGACGACCAGCCACACUGGAACUGAGACACGGUCCAGACUCCUACGGGAGGCAGCAGUGGGGAAUUUUGGACAAUGGGCGCAAGCCUGAUCCAGCAAUGCCGCGUGAGUGAAGAAGGCCUUCGGGUUGUAAAGCUCUUUUGUCAGGGAAGAAACGGUGGACUCUAAUACAGAUCACUAAUGACGGUACCUGAAGAAUAAGCACCGGCUAACUACGUGCCAGCAGCCGCGGUAAUACGUAGGGUGCAAGCGUUAAUCGGAAUUACUGGGCGUAAAGCGUGCGCAGGCGGUUGUGCAAGACAGAUGUGAAAUCCCCGGGCUCAACCUGGGAAUUGCAUUUGUGACUGCACGGCUAGAGUGUGUCAGAGGGGGGUAGAAUUCCACGUGUAGCAGUGAAAUGCGUAGAGAUGUGGAGGAAUACCGAUGGCGAAGGCAGCCCCCUGGGAUAACACUGACGCUCAUGCACGAAAGCGUGGGGAGCAAACAGGAUUAGAUACCCUGGUAGUCCACGCCCUAAACGAUGUCUACUAGUUGUCGGGUCUUAAUUGACUUGGUAACGCAGCUAACGCGUGAAGUAGACCGCCUGGGGAGUACGGUCGCAAGAUUAAAACUCAAAGGAAUUGACGGGGACCCGCACAAGCGGUGGAUGAUGUGGAUUAAUUCGAUGCAACGCGAAAAACCUUACCUACCCUUGACAUGUCUGGAAUCCUUGAGAGAUCAGGGAGUGCUCGAAAGAGAAUCAGAACACAGGUGCUGCAUGGCUGUCGUCAGCUCGUGUCGUGAGAUGUUGGGUUAAGUCCCGCAACGAGCGCAACCCUUGUCAUUAGUUGCUACGAAAGGGCACUCUAAUGAGACUGCCGGUGACAAACCGGAGGAAGGUGGGGAUGACGUCGAGUCCUCAUGGCCCUUAUGGGUAGGGCUUCACACGUCAUACAAUGGUACAUACAGAGGGCCGCCAACCCGCGAGGGGGAGCUAAUCCCAGAAAGUGUAUCGUAGUCCGGAUUGUAGUCUGCAACUCGACUACAUGAAGUUGGAAUCGCUAGUAAUCGCGGAUCAGCAUGUCGCGGUGAAUACGUUCCCGGGUCUUGUACACACCGCCCGUCACACCAUGGGAGCGGGUUUCACCAGAAGUGGGUAGCCUAACCGCAAGGAGGGCGCUCACCACGGUGGGAUUCGUGACUGGGGUGAAGUCGUAACAAGGUA
This 1491-nucleotide ribosomal RNA is filed under the name metagenome. RNAcentral's name for it is "bacterial SSU rRNA". It matches the Rfam family "Bacterial small subunit ribosomal RNA". The record is from RNAcentral.